Gasterosteus aculeatus aculeatus (three-spined stickleback) is the source of this 1890-nucleotide long non-coding RNA. The record is from Ensembl. Lineage: Eukaryota; Metazoa; Chordata; Actinopteri; Perciformes; Gasterosteidae.
GAGACAUUUAGAGGACGACACUGCCAAAGACUUAGGAAACCCUCCUCCUCCUCUUAUGUUCACACAUCCACUCAUAGCAAAGCAAUUAGGAGAUAAGCAAUCAGGAGGAGGGAGCUAUUGAGCAGGAGGGCGACGGGAUUGUUGCUGUGAUGAUUUGCUUCCUCUCAGGGAGAGACGUACAUCAAACAUCCUCCACGUGUCCCGCCAGAGACUCGCCCGAGGCUGCAGGUUGAAAUACGAAGUCAUUUGACUAAUUCAUGCGAGUGCGUGUGUGUUUCGUGUGUUUUGAUGUGCCGUGUGUCUGUCUUAAGAAAACAUGAUGCUCAAAUCAAGGAGGAGGGAAAUAAUGCUGAACGUAAAUGUCAUCAAAGGCGCCGCUUUAUGAGACACGUGCGUGGAAGCGGAGUGGCAGUCUGGGCUUUUUGGGUGACAAAUUACAAUCCUACAGUCCUGAAUCUAAAAGCUAAGAGAACAGCGCCGUUAUGCUUUGUUUUUGCACCAUAUCCCGCUGUUUAUCUUCAAAACGUCAACCUUCAAUGAAUAAAAAACACAUGCGCCCUGUACCCGUAUAAUGCCCAACUACGAUCCCAAGAUGUAUAUAUUUUGUAAAGAAUCUUAAACGCAACCUUUCUUAUUCGUUUAUCUGUCAUUAAAUCAUGUGUUGCUCAAUCGGCGUGUGAGAUUCAAGAAAACCAAAGAAGGUAACAAUGUUUUUUUUCAAAGCAGCUUAAAUUGAUGAUUGCCUCUAGAAGACAGACGAACUGCACAAAACCAUAAAGACCGUUCUGAGAUAUAGAUUACCUUGUAGAUUUAUCCUUUAAUUAAUUCUGAGUGGUGUUUUGGCUCACUUGAUGACUGUUAGUUCAAUAUUUACAGCCCUGUAGCUCUGCUUUGUUGUCCACCAGCUUUUUUACAAAUAGUUUUAAAUUUGCUCGUCUCGUUUGGUAUUGGGAAGCUUGUGUCUGUGUGUAUGUAUAUGUACACAUUUUGGUAUUCACUUUUCUCUCGGUUGAAGACAGUUUGAGAUAAAUCUAGUGCGUUUCCAGAAACGGACGACCUCAUACCAGCUUCAGCUUUAACUGUAACUAUUUGUGGCAGGAUUCUUAGAACAUUUUUGUAGCUCACGUUGUCCGUUAUUAAGUCAACAGCCUGAUAAAAAGCCACCGUAUUCAACUGUUAAUGUCUGAGGGGAAUGUGGAGAAGCAUUCAGACAAAUUCACAAGUUAUUUUCUGUCUGUAAUAUUUCUAAAGCGAGUGCAUUCACUAAUUUCACUUACAAAAACGUAAACUGUAUGCAUAUACAGGACUCGAUAGGAACAAUUUCUGGAAAGAAUCUCACUCGUGUGUGUGUGUGUGUGUGUGUGUAACAGACUGAGCUUGAUAAGAAGACACACGGGGCAUUCAGAGAGAUGAGGGCUGCAGUGUGUCCUCUCAAUGAAGUUACUCUCCUACGCGUCGACAGCGGCUGGGCUUCCUCUUUGAGCAUCCAGGCUGGAGGGAUGAUGGAGGCAAGAGAUGGAAUCCACUGACAGGCUCAUUAAUCAGGGGCAUUAAGACAGAGGGGUGCUGGCCUUGUCUCCGACGGGACACCCGGUCAGCUCAGACAUCGUGUCUGUAGCAACGGUUUGCUCUCCCCACCCCUGAAUCACUGCUGGCCUGCAAAGGUCAGACUCUAGAUGAUGUUUAUUUGUUUGACUGAGUGAGUGAUCCUCCUGCUUUAUUUGCUGCACAAGUUUUUUUUUUUUUUUUUAGUCGGUCUUGAUUUUCUUCCUUGCUCUUCAGCCGCCUCCCUUUGCCUUUGUUUUCCUGUCACUCCAUCUUUCCCCCUCGCCUGCUUCCUGCCCACUUUAACGAGAGUGUUGUACAAGGACAUGCUAUUUAUACAGAAAG